This 72-nucleotide transfer RNA is filed under the name Trichonephila clavata. It matches the Rfam family "tRNA". Rfam says of the family: Transfer RNA (tRNA) molecules are approximately 80 nucleotides in length. Their secondary structure includes four short double-helical elements and three loops (D, anti-codon, and T loops). The record is from Rfam by way of RNAcentral. Lineage: Eukaryota; Metazoa; Arthropoda; Arachnida; Araneae; Nephilidae.
GCGUCGGUGGUAUAACGGUUAGAAUAGCUGCCUUCAAAGCAGUUGACCCGGGUUCGACUCCCGGCCGACGCA